RNAcentral lists this ribosomal RNA (301 nucleotides) under uncultured bacterium. Its description in RNAcentral is "partial 16S ribosomal RNA". It matches the Rfam family "Bacterial small subunit ribosomal RNA", at positions 509 to 807 of the family's 1533-position model. The record is from RNAcentral.
CAGCCGCCGCGGUAAUACGAAGGGUGCAAGCGUUAAUCGGAAUUACUGGGCGCAAAGCGCGCGUAGGCGGUUUGUUAAGUCUGUUGUGAAAUCCCCGGGCUCAACCUGGGAAUGGCAAUGGAUACUGGCAAGCUAGAGUGUGUCAGAGGAUGGUGGAAUUCCCGGUGUAGCGGUGAAAUGCGUAGAGAUCGGGAGGAACAUCAGUGGCGAAGGCGGCCAUCUGGGACAACACUGACGCUGAGGCGCGAAAGCGUGGGGAGCAAACAGGAUUAGAUACCCGGGUAGUCCCUGUCUCUUAUAC